Long non-coding RNA from Anolis sagrei ordinatus, 1117 nucleotides. RefSeq lists it as uncharacterized. NCBI's taxonomy places the organism in Eukaryota, Metazoa, Chordata, Lepidosauria, Squamata, Anolidae. The record is from RefSeq and is a predicted model, not a curated record.
UGUGGAACCUGCAGAGCUCUAUGGCCGGUAAGGAGGCCUAUAUCUGGAGGAAUUUCCAGAAUGGACCAAAACAAGCUAUAUAAUGGGGUGCCCAUAUAACCAGAAAAAAAGGAGAGGGUCAUUCUACUCACUUCUUGCUGAUUGCAUGGAGACAAGGGAACAGGCCAGAGUAGGAAUGGACUGAACUGUCUGGACACUGGCUCCAGAUUCAGCAGGACAUGCUGGAAGUAAAGUGAACAUCCACACUUCUGGAAUAAGCUCGAAGCAUCAAAUGUGAAUGUGCAGAUAGCGUCACUAAUGAUUAUGGGUUUCUACAGACUGUGGAACCUUGGAGAGACCAAAUUUAACAGGAUAUCAUCAAAUCGCAUUCCAGAUGAGAAGGGCAUGGAAUUCUUUCUUUUGAAAAUACCUCUGUGUCUGCUUUUCUUUUCAUUUAUAGUAGACCCAGAAACAACUCUCUUGACUUUGGCUGAAUUACCUCAGACUCUUUGAGGCUCUUACUAAAAAUACAUACAAGAAACAAAAUAUUGUACCCAAAGGUAGAGAACUGCGACAGACAGGGUAGCCAGUUGCAUUGGCAAAAGGCAACAUACAGUACUUGGAAAAGGUGGGAGGAGAGAGCUGGCCUUGGGCCACCAGACGUGGCUCCCUGGACUCUGACUAUUCAAAGUAAGUCCCAAUAAAAGAGGAGAAAAAAGAAGAAAAAGGAGGAAAAAGUCAUGCACUGCUGUGGAUCAUCCAUUAAGCUGUCUGUUGAAUCUGGUGUAAUGUUAAGCAGACCAAAGAGACUGCUAUGAUGUAGCUUGAAUGCAGAACUAUGCUCACCUCAUCCACAGAGCCCUGGUGCUACAUAAACUUGUUUGCUAAGUCCCAUAUUUCUCUUUUUAUUUUACGAGUAUUGAGAGACUGCUUACUUGCCUGUAUUCUAUUGCAAGCCAUAAUGUCAAUGGAGAGCUACCCAGUUGCACUGAGUUUUCAGUGUGGCACUAAAAGGCCCCUUUGAGCUUCUAUCAAAUGUAACAUGGGCAUACAUAUUUGUGAGCCAUGGCUUUGAUGAGCGUCUUAAAAUAUGGAGAAUCAUUUUAAAUUCUUCUGUAGUUGUGUAUCACAAAGGAAA